GACGAACGCUGGCGGCGUGCCUAAUACAUGCAAGUCGAACGAGAGCGACCGGUGCUUGCACUGGUCAAUCUAGUGGCGAACGGGUGAGUAACACGUGGGUAACCUCCCCAUCAGAGGGGGAUAACAUCCGGAAACGGAUGCUAAAACCGCAUAGGUCUUCGAGCCGCAUGGCUUGAAGAGGAAAAGAGGCGCAAGCUUCUGCUGAUGGAUGGACCCGCGGUGCAUUAGCUAGUUGGUGAGGUAACGGCUCACCAAGGCCGUGAUGCAUAGCCGACCUGAGAGGGUGAUCGGCCACAUUGGGACUGAGACACGGCCCAAACUCCUACGGGAGGCAGCAGUAGGGAAUCUUCCGCAAUGGACGCAAGUCUGACGGAGCAACGCCGCGUGAGUGAAGAAGGUUUUCGGAUCGUAAAACUCUGUUGUUAGAGAAGAACAAGUGCUAGAGUAACUGUUAGCGCCUUGACGGUAUCUAACCAGAAAGCCACGGCUAACUACGUG
RNAcentral lists this ribosomal RNA (498 nucleotides) under uncultured bacterium. Its description in RNAcentral is "partial 16S ribosomal RNA". It matches the Rfam family "Bacterial small subunit ribosomal RNA", at positions 28 to 507 of the family's 1533-position model. The record is from RNAcentral.